Molecule: ribosomal RNA, 460 nt
Filed under: uncultured bacterium
Lineage: Bacteria
Description: bacterial SSU rRNA
Rfam family: Bacterial small subunit ribosomal RNA
Source: RNAcentral
AACGAACGCUGGCGGCAGGCCUAACACAUGCAAGUCGAACGCCGUAGCAAUACGGAGUGGCAGACGGGUGAGUAACGCGUGGGAACAUACCCCUCGGUUCGGAAUAACUCAGGGAAACUUGAGCUAAUACCGGAUACGUCCGAGGUUUUAAUCGACCUUGGAGAAAGAUUUAUCGCCGGAGGAUUGGCCCGCGUCUGAUUAGCUUGUUGGUGAGGUAAUGGCUCACCAAGGAACGCGANCAGUAGCUGGUCUGAGAGGAUGAUCAGCCACAUUGGGACUGAGACACGGCCCAAACUCCUACGGGAGGCAGCAGUGGGGAAUAUUGGACAAUGGGCGAAAGCCUGAUCCAGCCAUGCCGCGUGAGUGAUGAAGGCCUUAGGGUUGUAAAGCUCUUUUACCCGGGAAGAUAAUGACGGUACCGGGAGAAUAAGCCCCGGCUAACUUCGUGCCAGCCGCCGCU